This 231-nucleotide long non-coding RNA is filed under the name Elaeis guineensis (African oil palm). RNAcentral describes it as "long non-coding RNA (EGUI_LNC028862)". The record is from RNAcentral. Lineage: Eukaryota; Viridiplantae; Streptophyta; Magnoliopsida; Arecales; Arecaceae.
AGCGAAUUCUAAAUUCUCCAAUAAUGGUAAAAAUAUCAACUUCAUCUUAUUUGAUGAAAUAUCAGGUAAUAGAACACCACCUAGCAACCGCAGCACCUGGCUCCUGACAUACUAUUGCACCAUCUCAUCUGGUGCAUCAUCCUCAAUGUGAAAAUAUCGAUAACGAUCAUCCAAAUAUUCUAUCCUCAGUCGUGAAUGAUCGAAAAACUGAGCCUCAGACUCAAACCCCAG